This is a long non-coding RNA of Humulus lupulus (European hop), 1832 nucleotides long. RefSeq lists it as uncharacterized. The transcript has 6 exons. The record is from RefSeq and is a predicted model, not a curated record. NCBI's taxonomy places the organism in Eukaryota, Viridiplantae, Streptophyta, Magnoliopsida, Rosales, Cannabaceae.
CCUUACUAAACUCAGGAGAAGUUUUUACAUAGCUGUUGUAUCAGCUCUAGUGUACCAUAUUUGGAGAGUCAGAAAUGAUGUUUUGUGGUCCUCUAAGAUAUGGCAUGUCAAUCAUACAAUGGAGGUCAUUAAGAGAGAGCUAAAACUGAGACUUACUGUAAUGUAUAAAGGGAAACAAAAUAGGGAUAAGGAAUGGUAUCAGAAAUUGUAAAGUUAGAUGUGGAAUGUAAGUAACAUAGGGGUAGAAGGGAACUAUAAGUGUACAUGAUUUGUUUUGAGCAAUACAAUGAUUCUUAUUCACCAAAAAAAAAAAAAAAUUUAGGAAAAGAAAAUCAAUAUUUCACCAUUGAAGAUCUGCCCCUACUUGCUUCUCUUCUGGUCAUCUUGAGUGUCUCUAGUCAUCUCUAAAGUUCUUGGUCAACUAUGUCUCAUAGUCUACUCUAUUGGAAGGGUAAGUUCUCCAUUCUUUUUGUCCUCUGCUAUACUUUAAUGCCCUGAAUGUUGAUAUUUUUGUAUUGUGCAAAUGAGGUUCACCAUUAUAGGGUCUUAUGCUUGCCUAUAUGUUUUUCUUGUCUUUUGCAAAGCAGUGUAUAAAUGUUAUUUUUUUUAUCUAGCCUUAUUUCGUGUUCGCCUUGUGAUGCUUUUAUUAUUGGUAGAUGUUAUCUUUAUUUUUAUUAAUAAAUUCUUUGUUCUUUCUCUUUCUUUCCUUUUCUUUCUGUGUUUCUUCAGAUUUUUUGUAAGUGGAUUAAGCUAUAAUGACUACUGUAAUUCAUGUUGGUGAAUUGGAUUGCUUACUUAUUUAUAGUAGUGUUUGAAACUAAUUUGUUUGAUGUGAUCUGAACUAGUUACUGAAGUUGUUUCAUGAGUUUGAAAAGCUUGAUUCAUGAAUUGGAUUGCUUACUUCUUCAUGCAGAAAAUGGGAUCAAUGGCAGAUGAAUUGGAUCCAUGUUGAACAAUCAUUGGUGAACACAGGAAAGGAAAGGGCAAAAGUCAGCCUUCUUUUUACAUGGGCGGAAGGCAAUGUUGCCAACCAGAGGGAACAUCUAAUUCUUCUCCUUGCCAAUAUUCACAUUCAGAAAGCUAAUAAGUAGUCUGUCUUGAAGAGUUAUACACAGUAUAUCCUUUUGCCAAUCAGUGACCUUGAUUCUUGGUUGAAGACACCCUCCAUAUAUGUUUUUGAUUGCUCUGCGGCUGGGGGAAUAUUGUGAAUGCUUUUAUUGAGAUGAAUCUGAAUCUACUUUUCAUGAGGCUUUUCUUAGUCGUCUUACGGAAACUGGUGCAACAGAAAGUUCAUCUUUAUGUAACCUUCCUAAACAGAUGGAAGGUGAUCAACAGAGAGCCUCUGAACAGACUAAGAACAUCUUAAGUAAUUUAGUUGCUGCUGUUGACAAUUUGUGGUAUCUAAAAGAUGGAAUACAUACUGUAGUCUUGAAAAAACUUUCAGAAAAUGGAUCUUGCAGGCAAAGGACACCAAGUGAAUUAGAUAGAGAGGUUAAGAACUUGAGGGUGGCAUUUACUAACCUAUUUUUGAAGCAUAACACUUUCAAAGAAACUGCAAAGCCAUCGAGAUAUUGAUGCAAAGAAUAAAGCUGAGCUUAGAAUAUUAAGAGGUAACUCCUAGUGAGUGGAGAGAAGGCACUUCAACUUGGAUUGCAAGUAAUUGCAAAGAUUAAGGGCUAUGCUGAUGCAGCUCAGGUACUCCAAUGAAUUGGCUUCCUAGUUCUAUUUUACUGUUGCUGAAACAUAGCUCAAAGAAGAUUAUCUUUGCAGACACCUGAAUUCUUUACAACUGCUCCAGCCCUUGUGAUACCAAAAGCUAUUUCAAAUGCUGG